This 473-nucleotide ribosomal RNA is filed under the name uncultured bacterium. Its description in RNAcentral is "SSU rRNA". It matches the Rfam family "Bacterial small subunit ribosomal RNA", at positions 26 to 518 of the family's 1533-position model. The record is from RNAcentral.
AGGACGAACGCUGGCGGCGUGCUUAACACAUGCAAGUCGAGCGGAAAGGCCCUUCGGGGUACUCGAGCGGCGAACGGGUGAGUAACACGUGAGUAAUCUGCCCCUAGCUCUGGGAUAGCUCCGGGAAACCGGGAUUAAUACCGGAUACGACCACCUUAGACAUCUUUUGUGGUGGAAAGAAUUUCGGCUAGGGAUGAGCUCGCGGCCUAUCAGCUUGUUGGUGGGGUAAUGGCCUACCAAGGCGACGACGGGUAGCCGGCCUGAGAGGGCGACCGGCCACACUGGGACUGAGGCACGGCCCAGACUCCUACGGGAGGCAGCAGUGGGGAAUAUUGCGCAAUGGGCGAAAGCCUGACGCAGCGACGCCGCGUGGGGGAUGAAGGCCUUCGGGUUGUAAACCCUUUCAGCAGGGACGAAGCGAAAGUGACGGUACCUGCAGAAGAAGCGCCGGCUAACUACGCGCCAGCAGCCGC